RNAcentral lists this ribosomal RNA (460 nucleotides) under uncultured bacterium. RNAcentral's name for it is "partial 16S ribosomal RNA". It matches the Rfam family "Bacterial small subunit ribosomal RNA", at positions 338 to 795 of the family's 1533-position model. The record is from RNAcentral.
CCUACGGGGGGCAGCAGUGAGGAAUAUUGGUCAAUGGACGAGAGUCUGAACCAGCCAAGUAGCGUGAAGGAUGACUGCCCUAUGGGUUGUAAACUUCUUUUAUAUGGGAAUAAAACGUUCCACGUGUGGGAUUUUGUAUGUACCAUAUGAAUAAGGAUCGGCUAACUCCGUGCCAGCAGCCGCGGUAAUACGGAGGAUCCGAGCGUUAUCCGGAUUUAUUGGGUUUAAAGGGUGCGUAGGUGGAUUGUUAAGUCAGUUGUGAAAGUUUGCGGCUCAACCGUAAAAUUGCAGUUGAAACUGGCAGUCUUGAGUACAGUAGAGGUGGGCGGAAUGCGUGGUGUAGCGGUGAAAUGCUUAGAUAUCACGAAGAACUCCGAUUGCGAAGGCAGUUCACUGGACUGCAACUGACACUGAGGCUCGAAAGUGUGGGUAUCAAACAGGAUUAGAUACCCCAGUAAUC